Phrynosoma platyrhinos (Desert horned lizard) is the source of this 72-nucleotide non-coding RNA. The record is from the annotation of a GenBank genome assembly. Lineage: Eukaryota; Metazoa; Chordata; Lepidosauria; Squamata; Phrynosomatidae.
AGUUGAUUGGUGUAGUGGUUUGAGUGCUGGAUUAUGACUCUGGAGACCAAAGUUCAAACCCCUGACUGGCCA